UAGUUUUGUUUUUAGUUCUUUGAAUAAUCUCCAAACUGCUUUUCACUUUGACUGAACUAAUUUACCUUCCCACCAACAGUGUAAAAGUGUUCCUAUUUCUCC
Nomascus leucogenys (northern white-cheeked gibbon) is the source of this 102-nucleotide long non-coding RNA. RefSeq lists it as uncharacterized. Lineage: Eukaryota; Metazoa; Chordata; Mammalia; Primates; Hylobatidae. The record is from RefSeq and is a predicted model, not a curated record. The transcript is spliced from 3 exons.